UACAGAGGUCUCAACCGUUGUUCGGAUUCAUUGGGCGUAAAGGGCGCGUAGGCGGCUUGGCAAGUCCGACAUGAAAUGUACCGGUUCAACCGGGGCACUGUGUCGGAAACUGCCUGGCUUGAGGUCGAGGGAGGAGAGUGGAAUUCCUGGUGUAGCGGUGAAAUGCGCAGAUAUCAGGAAGAACACCCGUGGCGAAAGCGGCUCUCUGGAACGGUACUGACGCUGAGACGCGAAAGCGUGGGGAGCGAACAGG
This 253-nucleotide ribosomal RNA is filed under the name uncultured bacterium. RNAcentral's name for it is "partial 16S ribosomal RNA". It matches the Rfam family "Bacterial small subunit ribosomal RNA", at positions 524 to 776 of the family's 1533-position model. The record is from RNAcentral.